Molecule: long non-coding RNA, 269 nt
Organism: Acipenser ruthenus (sterlet)
Lineage: Eukaryota; Metazoa; Chordata; Actinopteri; Acipenseriformes; Acipenseridae
Exons: 3
Source: RefSeq, a predicted model, not a curated record
GGAACACCUCUCCAAAGUGGGAUGUUGUUGUGGACAGCUGAGAGAACUCUGCAGAUGAGUACUUGACCAUCUUUCACCCAGUCUCCAGCAAUGCAAGAGUGCUGUUCCCUUCCCAUCUGAAGAGGUUUGAAGUGAAAAUGUUUUCCUUCACAAGUGGCCAGGAUGCACUGAAAGGACAGAUUUACUUCCACUGCAGUGUUGUGAUAUGUGAUUCAAACCGGCCAUCAGACAGCCUCUGUAGCAGACGGUGCAUUCCAGGAAAACAGAGG